This 72-nucleotide transfer RNA is filed under the name Camelus bactrianus (Bactrian camel). It matches the Rfam family "tRNA". From Rfam's summary of the family: Transfer RNA (tRNA) molecules are approximately 80 nucleotides in length. Lineage: Eukaryota; Metazoa; Chordata; Mammalia; Artiodactyla; Camelidae. The record is from Rfam by way of RNAcentral. RNAcentral also lists the same sequence under 3 other names.
GAGGGUGUAGUUCAGUGGUAGAGCACGUGCUUAGCAUGUACAAGGUCCUAGGUUCAAUCCCUAGUACCUCCA